ACGAACGCUGGCGGCGUGCUUCACACAUGCAAGUCGAACGGAAAGGCCCUGCUUUUGUGGGGUGCUCGAGUGGCGAACGGGUGAGUAACACGUGAGUAACCUGCCCUUGACUUUGGGAUAACUUCAGGAAACUGGGGCUAAUACCGGAUAGGAGCUCCUGCUGCAUGGUGGGGGUUGGAAAGUUUCGGCGGUUGGGGAUGGACUCGCGGCUUAUCAGCUUGUUGGUGGGGUAGUGGCUUACCAAGGCUUUGACGGGUAGCCGGCCUGAGAGGGUGACCGGCCACAUUGGGCCUGAGAUACGGCCCAGACUCCUACGGGAGGCAGCGGUGGGGAAUAUUGCACAAUGGGCGGAAGCCUGAUGCAGCAACGCCGCGUGCGGGGUGACGGCCUUCGGGUUGUAAACCGCUUUCGCCUGUGACGAAGCGUGAGUGACGGUAAUGGGUAAAGAAGCACCGGCUAACUACGCG
This 467-nucleotide ribosomal RNA is filed under the name uncultured bacterium. RNAcentral describes it as "partial 16S ribosomal RNA". It matches the Rfam family "Bacterial small subunit ribosomal RNA", at positions 29 to 507 of the family's 1533-position model. The record is from RNAcentral.